GACGAACGCUGGCGGCGUGCUUAACACAUGCAAGUCGAACGGAAAGGCCCUGCUUUUGUGGGGUGCCCGAGUGGCGAACGCGUGAGUAACACGUGAGUAACCUGCCCUUGACUUUGGGAUAACUUCAGGAAACUGGGGCUACUACCGGAUAGGAUCUCCUGCUCCAUGGUGGGGGGUGGAACGUUUCGGCGGUUGGGGAUGGACUCGCGGCUUAUCAGCUUGUUGGUGGGGUAGUGGCUUACCCAGUCUGUGACGGGUAGCCGGCCUGAGAGGGUGAACGGCCACAAUGGGACUGCGAGACGGCGCAGAGUCGUACGGGAGGCAGCGGUGGGGAGUAUUGCACAAUGAGCGGAAGCCUGAUGCAGAGGCGCCGCGUGCGUGAUGACGGCCUGCGGGUUGUAAACCGCUGUCGCCUGAGACGAAGCGUGAGUGACGGUAAUGGGUAAAGAAGCACCGGCUAACUACGUG
RNAcentral lists this ribosomal RNA (468 nucleotides) under uncultured bacterium. RNAcentral's name for it is "partial 16S ribosomal RNA". It matches the Rfam family "Bacterial small subunit ribosomal RNA", at positions 28 to 507 of the family's 1533-position model. The record is from RNAcentral.